This 21-nucleotide ribosomal RNA is filed under the name Scutellonema clavicaudatum. RNAcentral describes it as "partial 28S ribosomal RNA". Lineage: Eukaryota; Metazoa; Nematoda; Chromadorea; Rhabditida; Hoplolaimidae. RNAcentral also lists the same sequence under 1 other name. The record is from RNAcentral.
GACCUGAACUCAGACGUGGGC